Molecule: RNA transcript, 3883 nt
Organism: Columba livia (rock pigeon)
Lineage: Eukaryota; Metazoa; Chordata; Aves; Columbiformes; Columbidae
Gene: AGMO
Gene name: alkylglycerol monooxygenase
Exons: 15
Source: RefSeq, a predicted model, not a curated record
ACAAAAGCAAACAGCAUGAUUCAAAGAGAAAUAAGACAUUGGAGGCUUUCCCAGCAGCCUUCAAGCCCCUCCGAGCCAUGGGGAAAGGCAAUAGGGCCGUCGGGCCAUGUUAAAAUUCGGAGCGCUGCGUCGGGCUUGGAGCAGGCGCCGGUGCGGAGCGGGGCGGGCCGGCGGCGGGUCCCCGCGGCCAAGGCACCCGCAGCCGCGCAGAGCGGCCGCGGCAGCCGGGCCAUGGGCAGCCAGGGGGGCGGCCCGCGGGCCACCGAACCGGGACAGCAGCUCCGCGCCCUCUUCUACGCGCUGCCGCCCGGCGAGAGCUCCUUCCACACGGUGGAGGAGGUGCCCGACUACGUGGAGAAGAGUAUUCCAUUCUUCAUUGCUUUUAUUGGGCUGGAGUUUGUUGUCAGCUGGUUUCAGAAGCGUAAACUGUCAGGUCGGAUCAAUGAUGGUAUAAGUUCUCUUUCUUUAGGUAUCCUGUCUCGACUGCCAGAUGUUUUAUUCAGAAGUGUUGACUUAAUUAGUUAUAUCUACAUAUGGAAUAACUACAGACUCUUUGAACUGCCCUGGGACUCACCAUGGACAUGGUAUUUGACACUCGUGGGAGUGGACUUUGCAUACUACUGCUUUCAUCGCAUAAGCCAUGAGGUUAAUAUACUGUGGGCAGCGCACCAAGUACAUCAUAGUUCUGAAGAUUACAACUUAUUCACAGCCUUGAGACAAUCUGUACUGCAGAAAUACACCUCCUGGAUUUUCAACUUGCCCAUGGCUCUUUUCAUUCCCCCUUCAGUGUUUGCUGUUCAUCUACAGUUUAAUCUACUUUACCAGUUUUGGAUACAUACAGAGGUUAUCAACAAACUUGGACCUCUGGAGUGGAUUCUUAAUACUCCCAGUCAUCACAGAGUUCAUCAUGGUAGAAAUCCUUACUGCAUUGAUAAAAAUUAUGGCGGCACACUAAUUAUCUGGGACAGGAUAUUUGGAACAUUUGAAGCAGAAGAUGCAAAAGUUGUAUAUGGCUUAACACAUCCAGUAAAUUCAUUUGAUCCCAUCAUGCUCCAGUUACGUCCCUUAGCCCAUAUUUGGAACACAUUUUGGGCCACACCUGGAUUCUGCAAUAAGCUUUCUGUCAUUUUCAAAGGGCCAGGCUGGGGACCAGGCAAACCUAGACUUGGCCUUCCUGAGGAAAUCCCAGUGAUCACUGGAAAAGAAGUUCUCUUCAAUCCGCAUGUACCAGCUUACCUUAAUUGCUAUGCAGUUGUACAUUUUGUCAUAAUAGUGGACUUGUAUACUGAACUUCUUGGUACUGUGACUAUGUUAUCACAGGGAACUAUUCUCCUGAGAAUUGGCUUUAUCAUUCUGUCCUUGACCUCUUUUGGACUACUUAUGGAGAACAGAAAGGAAUACCUUCCACUUGUGUUGAUUGAACAAUUUAUUUCAGGGCCCAAAGCAAGAAUUUUGGAAAUCAUCCGCUGCUUAGUUUUCAUAGGUGUGUACAAACUUGGCCACUUACGGAGUCAGUUUUCUUCCUUGGGCUAUGCAUAUGAGGUAGACUGUGUUUAACCAGCUUCAGUGAAUCUGGACUGAGAUGUGUCAUCAUGGAAGUUAUCCCUACAAAUGUCUUGUUUUCUCUCUGUGCUGCAUUCUGGGUAAUCCAACUUACGAAGCGAAUCACUUCAUCUGAAGAUAAACUUCACUGAAAAAGCAGAUCUAACAUCAAUUGAAUUAUGGAAACAGCACUUUGGAAUAACCUUCUAAUUUCCUUGGAAUUAGUCAACCAUGAACCUUACAGAAUCAAAAUCACUUAUCAUAGAAUUGUAUAAAGCUCUGAAAGAUUCAUUAGGAUGUGUAUUCAUUUUUAUUUGAUUUUUAAGAGGUAUUUAAUUUCCCUCCAAUUUAAAUAAAAUGUUAGUUUAUCACGUUUUUCCAUUCAAUGGAUUACAAAGUCUUCAAAAUAAUGUAAAACUAAUCAUAUUUUGCAGUGAUUUUGUUAGUAACUCUAUGUGAAAAGUAGUUUUCACAAUAGGAAUAAUUAAUAUCAUAUUUGUUGUAACCUGGUAUAAAGUGACUGACUGACUUCCUAUUGAGGCUAAACAUAAACAUAUGUGAAUGUCAGGUUUUCCAUAAUGGUUGAAUUACACUAGAAUCUCAAUGUCAUGCCCAAUUCAAGGCAUACAUACAGCUACAUGAGUAGUCGAGGCAAGGAAAUUAUUAAAAGCAGCAUGAUAAAAUAACUUGAACUAGUAUGAGUUGAAACAUCUUCAACAAAGUUGGCUGAUGUAUGUGUUGUAUAAUGCAGGUUUGCAGUUUAGUUUGAAGUAUUUAAGGAGUACACCUGCGGCUGCCAACUUUAGAUGCUGAUCAAGCCAGCAUUUACACAUGGGUAUUCCACUGACUGUUACUCAUGUGACAAAAUAUUUGCAAGGCUGGGUCCUUAAUUUCUGGUAAUUUCUCGCUGGGGUGACCUCAGGAGAGAUGCAUGUCUUGUCUUUCAGGAGCUGUUGGAAAGAUGUUUUGUAUUAAGAUAGGAAAAUUAAAUACAAACGGUAAAGGGAGUCUCCAAACAGCGGGACUGGCAAAAAUACUGGAGCUAGGUUGUUUUUCUUUCCUCACACUCUUCCAACUUUUUAUUUGGCUCCAAGACUUUUAGAAGUGCUUAAAGUCAAGUAGCUAAAAAAUGUAGGCUGUCUUGCAUGCUUCAAACUAGUAAUAAUAACUGGAUUAAAAACGGAUUUAAUUUUGGGUUGGGUUUUGUUCCCAUUCCAUUUUACUUUAGGAUGCUGAUGACAUGCUAACAGACAUCUCAGAUUUAGACAGAGCGUACUUUUAAUUAACCCAUAUUUUCAGUCUCUGGCUGUAACAGAUACCACUGUCUACAUAAUUGGAUGUUUUCAAUAAAUUGACAGAAACACAGUAAUGUUAUAUAAAUAAAACUGAUCCAAUGCCCAUUGAUAGUACUGGCUCAAUUUAAAAUAUUUUUUUACUUUAAAACCCAAGUUUUAAGUUAGUCCAUUUGUGUAUCAGAUGCCUUGUGCCUAUCACUUUAGAUUAUGCUCAAAGACCUUGAAAUAUUUGACUGAAAAAGCAGAUGUUAGUUUGAUUAGAGGUAGUAAUACCUGGAAUGCAAAGUAAGGAUAAUACCUUCCUAAACUGAAGCUGUGUUUAAACAGAGGACUUGUGGAUCUUCUUCACUUUACAUAAUAAGAAUAUUAAAAAAACUGACCCAAGAAAAACCUGAAAGAAAUCAGAUUUAAAAUACUUAUUGAGAAGUUUAAUUAAAACUUUUAUUCAUAACAAGGUAGGCUUCCAAAGUCUUUUUAAGAAAUGUAUAAAUACAAUUAUAUACCUCUGAGUUCAAGAGUGGAAACAUCAUCUCUUGACUAACACUCUGAUUUGACAGCCAGAAGCUUUCUCUGGUACUAUCAGUUCUGACCAAAAUUUACCGUGUCUUUGCCUGAAUUUCCGUGUCUGUGGAAUGGGGCUGAUGGCAAUACUGAUGGUUUCUCUCACCCUAAUGAAAGUAUUGCGUUUGGGAUCUUUUUCUUACAGCACUAUUGUAAGAUAUUUAAGAAAAUUACAGGAUCUGAUUCCAGAAGAACAGCACAAUCUACAAACUUCUUAUGUGACCCCAUAAGUUAGUGUAUGUGUAUUUUCAAAAUUUGUAAUAGUGACAUCAACCUCACAGGAAUAUUUUGAGGUCAGUUUAAUGUAAUGACUAUGUAAUAUGAUGAAGAGUCAUAUUGAAGGUCACUUUCCUUAUCAAAAUGAAUCCUCUGAAGAGACAGGAAUAGGAUAAAGAUUUAAUAUUUUCUGCAUUUAAAAAACUGCAGUCUUGGAAGGACAAUAAUGAAGAUCUGAAUUAAAUUAAAUUAAAUUAAUUUCAAAGAUA